This 495-nucleotide ribosomal RNA is filed under the name uncultured bacterium. RNAcentral's name for it is "partial 16S ribosomal RNA". It matches the Rfam family "Bacterial small subunit ribosomal RNA", at positions 28 to 507 of the family's 1533-position model. The record is from RNAcentral.
GACGAACGCUGGCGGCGUGCCUAAUACAUGCAAGUAGAACGCUGAAGGAGGAGCUUGCUUCUCUGGAUGAGUUGCGAACGGGUGAGUAACGCGUAGGUAACCUGCCUGGUAGCGGGGGAUAACUAUUGGAAACGAUAGCUAAUACCGCAUAAUAGCAGUUGUUGCAUGACAACUGUUUGAAAGGUGCAAUUGCACCACUACCAGAUGGACCUGCGUUGUAUUAGCUAGUUGGUGGGGUAACGGCUCACCAAGGCGACGAUACAUAGCCGACCUGAGAGGGUGAUCGGCCACACUGGGACUGAGACACGGCCCAGACUCCUACGGGAGGCAGCAGUAGGGAAUCUUCGGCAAUAGACGGAAGUCUGACCGAGCAACGCCGCGUGAGUGAAGAAGGUUUUCGGAUCGUAAAGCCCUGUUGUAAGAGAAGAACGAGUGUGAGAGUGGAAAGUUCACACUGUGACGGUAUCUUACCAGAAAGGGACGGCUAACUACGUG